AUGGGACAAUGAAGCAUGGCCUGGGUACUUGAAGCCUCAGCUCCCACAUGAUCCCACCUCCAGCACCACCCCAGGAUGCAUUCUUAGCUGCAUGUUCCCCCAUCCACACCCAGAGACCACUAUCCUCUGCUCCGAGUUUAUGACACGCACAACAAAGUGAGGAAGACAGAGAAGAGAAAACUCUGAAAUGAGACCAGAGCUGUUGCCCUGCAUACAUGGGCACGUGGACAAAGGCCAGCUGGACCUCCUGGGGAGCGCGCAUUCACUUGGAGGGGUUGAAACCAGGGCUAUCAACGUAAAGAAAUUAAUUCCACAGAGACUGAAAUGACUAUGAAAUUGGUAAGGCACAGAGUAUAGCUAAAAAUGGGUCUUAUUUUGUAUUAAAUUGCUCUAUAAGGAACCUGAAUCUCCUGUAGGCUUGGAUGAAUUCCCAUAAACUGGAUGUCCUUGUAGUUUAUUUACAUGUGCAAAGGUCAAUUUGCCUCUUGGUGAGACAAAACCAAGCAAACGGAAUUCUGUUUAAUUGAGUGAUACAGUCCAUUGAAUCUGCCAUUAGAGCACAAGUUCAUUUUAGAAACUAGCAUUGUGGAGGAGCCCUUAUGGUAUGCUCCGAGUAGGCAGAAAAUCUGUGAAGACCUGUUUUAUCCCCUUCUCUCCCAAGGAAUAUUUCCAUGAAGUUUUGGGGUUUUAUGCUGUUAAAUCUUUCUUCUUUCUAUGGUGUGGCUAUCAAUCCUGUAGCUAAGAAUGUCAUUCUAGAUAGUAAGGCUGGUCUGAGCCUUCCUGUAUCUUUUCUGACUAACUUUGGGAGCUGCCAAGGCACACAAUCCACCCUGUUUUCAACCCAAAAAAGGGCAGAAAGGUGGAAACAUGUUUUAUAACACUCUCAGCUCUUUUUAACUUGGAGGCAUGCUGACUCUCUGGCCUUGUGCCCACGGAAAGAGACAAAUGAGGCAAAGCCUGCUUUUAUUCCUGUUCCCAAUGCUCCCCCAUCUAAGAAUGACAAAAAAAUAAACUCUCCUAUUGGAAAGAGGCCCUACUUCCUUUACCAGGUCAGAAGUUUCAAAGAAAAUAAUUGUACAAAGUCCUUAAACUGAGCAUUUGUUUAUGAACAACUUGGCUGCUAUUUUCGGUCUUUACAAUGAGGAAACAAAGAAUUUGUGGAGGAGUUUGAAAAAUUGAAGUAAAGAAAGGAACUUUUGAAAGAAAGAUCCUAUGUUCACUUUCCUAUAUCGUCAGUACAUUAUAUCAAAGAGUAAAACACUUUCACUCUGUAUUUGUUUGGAAUGUUUAGCAUGGACGUCCCCGAUUUGUACUGGCCCCCCAAAAAUAUUCUUCAAUUUCAAGAAUUAUAGGAAAUUAGGUACAUGAGGAAAGCAAUGCUGUGAAGUAUGGAAUAUGGAAUAGUAUGGACUAAAACUGGAAUAUAUGAAAACGUUUGUAAGAAGUUAUUCUCCUUCAGCUGGCACAAGAGUAACGAUUGUGGGUUUCAAAGUUGUCAUGAUAGGAAAAAGGUAAAGUCAGGUAGAAAUGCUUAAUUUAUUGAUGUAUCUUCAAUAGAAUCUACUUACUUCUGAUGAUCUUUUCAGGAUUAAUUGAAUCUUACACAUUGCAGUAUAGUUUGGAGUGGACCCAGACAGACUGCUCACAAGUUGGACGAGGGAAACUGUCUUACAUUGACUUAUUUCCAUUUGAAAGAUUUCUGAGUAGAUUGGUUCUUUUUUUUUUACCUUUAAUAAUAUUGAGACUAUUUUUUUUAAAGCAGUUUAAGGUUCACAGCAAAAUGGAGGGGAAGGUACAGAGAUUUCCCAUAUACCUCCUGCCCCCACACAUGCAUAGCCUUGUCAACAUCCCCAGCCAGAGUAGUACGUUUGUUACAAUUGAUAAACCUACAUGAACACGUCAUAAUCACUCAAAGCCCAGAGUUUACAUUACAGGUCACUCUGGGUGUUGUACAUUCCAUGGGUUUGGGCAAAUGUAUGAUGAUUUGUAGCCAUCGCAGUGGUAUUAUGCAUAGUAUUUCCACGGCCCUAAAAAUCAUCUGUGCUCCACCUAUUCAUCUCUUCCCCACCUGCAACUCCAACUGGUUCUUUUUUGAGAGUUUUAUUUCUGUUGGAAGAGAUUAAAAAAAAGAAUCUCUGUUGGAACACUGACUGUAUAUGACGAACAGCAGUGUGGAUCCCCAAAAGUAUAAAAUAACCCCAAUAUAAUUUGACAUAGAUUGUAGUCUUUCUACACGCUCUGAAAUAGAAAGACUUUUUGUUCAUUCGGUUUCCACUAUGCUUGUGACUUCUAAGUACCUAUUUCCCAGUUCUUCUGGAUUUUUUCAUCUGAACGUCAAGUAUCAUAUGCCUAAACCUAUUUCCUUCUUCUCUCAACCUUCCAAAAUAACCUCUCUUUACAACCACAUUCUACAAAGAAGAUAGGAAUAGACUGUCAGUUAACUUUUUCAUCUGGUGUUAUGACCGAAUGUUUUGUGAAGAGUCUAUUAGGUUAUUAGAAAAAGGCAGUGCUGAUCUACAAUAUUAAAUAAUUUUUGGAAUUCUAUAAUGAUAUUACUGCACUCAGGGGAACAGAUGUCACAUUUUCAGAAAUUUUGAUCAUGAAAAUACAUUUUUAA
Molecule: long non-coding RNA, 2617 nt
Organism: Diceros bicornis minor
Lineage: Eukaryota; Metazoa; Chordata; Mammalia; Perissodactyla; Rhinocerotidae
Exons: 3
Source: RefSeq, a predicted model, not a curated record